This is a transfer RNA of Sus scrofa (pig), 73 nucleotides long. It matches the Rfam family "tRNA". Rfam says of the family: Transfer RNA (tRNA) molecules are approximately 80 nucleotides in length. Their secondary structure includes four short double-helical elements and three loops (D, anti-codon, and T loops). The record is from Rfam. NCBI's taxonomy places the organism in Eukaryota, Metazoa, Chordata, Mammalia, Artiodactyla, Suidae.
AUUUCUGUAGUGUAGUGGUUAUCACAUUCACCUCCCAUGGGAAAGGUCCCCAGUUCAAAACCGGGUGGAAACA